Molecule: ribosomal RNA, 1455 nt
Filed under: uncultured Bordetella sp.
Lineage: Bacteria; Pseudomonadati; Pseudomonadota; Betaproteobacteria; Burkholderiales; Alcaligenaceae
Description: partial 16S-23S ribosomal RNA intergenic spacer
Rfam family: Bacterial small subunit ribosomal RNA
Source: RNAcentral
AAUUCGAUCAUGGCUCAGAUUGAACGCUGGCGGGAUGCUACACAGCAUGCAAGUCGAACGGCAGCACGGACUUCGGUCUGGUGGCGAGUGGCGAACGGGUGAGUAAUGUAUCGGGAACGUGCCUAGUAGCGGGGGAUAACUACGCGAAAACGUAGCUAAUGCCGCAUACGCCCUUCGAAGCCGAGGGACCUUCCAGGCCCUCACACUAUCCAACAGCCGUCGGAUUAGCUAGUUGGUAGGGUAACGGCUCCCACCCAGGCAGCGAUCCGUAGCUGGUUUUUGAGAGGACGACCAGCCACACUGGGACUGAGACACAGCCCCAGACUCCUACGGGAGGCGAAAGCAGUGGGGAAUUUUCGGACCAAUGGAAACCUGAUUAAUAUCCCGCGUGUGCGAUGAAGGCUACUUCGGGUUGUAAGCACUUUUGGCAGGGAAAAGAAACGGCACGGGGAUAAUACCCCGUGCAACUGACGGUACCUGCAGAAUAAGCACCGGCUAACUACGUGCCAGCAGCCGCGGUAAUACGUAGGAUUGCAAGCGUUAAUCGGAAUUACUGGGCGUAAAGCGUGCGCAGGCGGUUCCGGAAGAAGAUGUGAAAUCCCAGAGCUUAACUUUGGAACUACAUUUUUUAACUGCGAGCUAGAGUGUCGGAGGUGGAAUUCCGCAUGCCAUUGUCCGUAGAUAUGCGGAGGAACACCGAUGGCGAAGGCAACCUCCUGGGAUAACACUGACGCUCAUGCAGAAAACGCAGGGGAGCAAACAGGAUUAGAUACCCUGAAGUCCACGCCCUAAACGAUGUCAACUAGCUGUUGGGGCCUUCGGGCCUUGGUAGCGCAGCUAACGCGUGAAGUUGACCGCCUGGAAGUACAGUCCGCAGUUAAAACUCAAGGAGUGGCGGGGACCCGCACAAGCGAGUGGAUGAUGUGGAUUAAUUCAGUGCAACGCGAAAACCUUACCUACAUGACAUGCUGGAAUCCGAAGAGAUUUGGGGCCUGCAAGGCGGAACUGGUGCUGCAUGGCUGUCGUCAGCUCGUGUCGUGAGAUGUUGGGUUAGUCCCGCAACGAGCGCAACCCUUGUCAUUGAUUGCUACGAAAGGGCACUCUAAUACCUGAGACUGCCGAUGAUGACAAGCCGGAGGAAGGUGGGGAUGACGUCAGUCCUCCUUGGCCCUUAUGGGUAGGGCUUGUCAUACAAUGGUCGGGACAGAGGGUCCUCCAACCCGCGAGGAGCCAAUCUGAAACCCGAUCGUAGUCCGGAUCGCAGUCUGCAACUCGACUGCGUGAAGUCGGAAUCGCUGGCUCAAUCGCGGAUCAGCAUGUCGCAGUGCAAACCGUUCCGGGUCUUGUACACACCGCCCGUCACACCAGCGGAGUGGUUUUACCAGAAGUAGUUAGCUAGCCGUAAGGAGGGCGAUUCUGUUGGAUUCAUGACUGGGGUGAAGUGUAACAAGGUAA